GUAAGAUUUAUUUAUAAGGGUAAUCCAAGAGAGUAAACAGUCCAGGCAGGGUCAAAACCAGAAGAACGAAGCAGACAUAAACAAGACACUAACGCAAGGCAAGACAAGGAUGACGGGCAUGAAAUAGCAUAACAUUAAACAAGGACUCCGUAACAUAGACUAAGACAGACUGGGUAUUUAUACACAGAAGGAUAAUGGGGAAACAGGAGACAGGUGGGGGGAACAAUCAAUUACGCAACAAGGAGGAAGGUGACCAUAUAAGGGAACAGGAAGUGAUCUGGGACAGACACCGUGAGAAGGAGGACAUCUAGUGGAACCCCGGGGAACAACAACCCAGACACUGUGACAGUACCCCCCCUCUAUGGAGCGGCUCCCAGACGCUCAAAGACAAAACACAACACAGAGACCAGGAGGGAGGCGGACAGGUGGAGGCUCAGGGGGAGGGACGGAGGGCCAGACUAACUGAGGGGAACAGACAGAAACAUAACAGAACUCAAAAAACACAAAACAGAAGUCCAUGAAGGACAUGUUGAGGCGUCCACCAGGGCGGAGCAGAUGACCACCACAGCCAUGUGGUCAAGGCCAGAACCCUCCAGGGCGGAGCGGAAGGCCACCAUGACCUUGUGGUCAAAGUCAGAGUCCUCCAGGGCGGAGCGGACGACCACCACAGCCGUGUGGUCACCGCCAGAGUCCCCCAGGGCAGAGCGGACGACCACCACAGCCGUGUGGUCACCGCCAGAGUCCCCCAGGGCGGAGCGGACGACCACCACGUCCUCGUGGUCACCGCCAGAGUCCCCCAGGGCGGAGCGGACGACCACCACAUCCUCGUGGUCACCGCCUCAGCCUCCAGAACGGCAUCGAUCACCACAUCGGGAACGACCUCGGGCACCGCCUCGGCCUCUCGAACAGCAGCGGGCACCUCCUCGGGAACAGCAUCGGGCACCGCCUCGGGGACCGCAUCGGGCACCGCCUCGGGGACCGCAUCGGGCACCGCCUCGGGGACCGCAUCGGGCACCGCCUCGGGGACCGCCUCGGGGACCGCAUCGGGCACCGCCUCGGAGACCGCAUCGGGCACCGCCUCGGGGACCGCAUCGGGCACCGCCUCGGCCUCUCGAACAGCAGCGAGCACCUCCUCGGGAACAGCCUCGGCCUCGGGAACAGCAUCGGGCACCGCCUCGGCCUCCAGAACGGCAACGGACUGUGCCUCGGAAUCGGGAACAGCAUCGGGCACCGCCCCGACCUCCAGAACAGCGUCGGGUUUCGCUUUGACCUCUGGAACAGCAUCGGGCCUCGCCUCAGCCUCUGGAACAGCAUUGGGCACCGCCUCGGCAUCUGGAACAGCAUCGGGCACCGCCUCGGGAACGGAAACGGUCCGCUCGGGAACGUUCUCCAGGCCUUGAGGGACGGUCGACGCCUGUCUCCUCGUCCUCCGUCCUCUAUGACGGCGAGUCGGUGGAACCUGUACUGGCGACUCAGGCGUAGAAUCAGCCAUCUUGUGCUGUGGCUCUGGGCUGGCGGCCAUCUUGUGCUGUGGCUCUAAACUGAUGGCCAUCUUGGUCUGUGGCUCUAAGCUGGCAGCCAUCGUGUGCUGUGGCGCUGGGCUGGUGGCCAUCUUGUGCUGUGGCUCUGGGCUGGCAGCCAUCUUGUGCUGUGGCGCUGGCUCAGCGGCCAUCUUGAGCUGUGGCGCUGGGUUAACGGCCAUCUUGUGCUGAAGCGCUGGCUCAGCAGCCAUGACGUGAACCGUCUUGGGAACCUCUAGUAUUCUUGAUAGCGUAGCGAAAUAAUCCAAGAAUGAGACAGCGGCCGUCUUGGGCGUCGGUGCUGAGCUGGCAGCCAUCUUGCCCUGUGGGGUGAGGCUGGUUUCCAUUUGGCCUCGUGGUGCGGGGUUGGUGGUUACACACCACAGCGGCGUUGGGUCGGUGGCCAUCUGGCGCCGUGCUUCCUCUCGCCCACCUCCUCCUCGACGACCUCCCCUGGUUCCGCGGAAAACCACCAGGCGAGUUCCUUCAAAACCGCCUCUGUCCCGCUCUGUGACUGGGGAUGAGGCAUGGGCAGACAUACCUGCUGGUUCUCUUGGUGACGGAGUCCUUCUGUCACGUUUUGCGGCGCUUGAAAGAUGGCGAGAGAACCAAUUGCAGGUAAGUAAGAUUUAUUUAUAAGGGUAAUCCAAGAGAGUAAACAGUCCAGGCAGGGUCAAAACCAGAAGAACGAAGCAGACAUAAACAAGACACUAACGCAAGGCAAGACAAGGAUGACAGGCAUGAAAUAGCAUAACAUUAAACAAGGACUCCGUAACAUAGACUAAGACAGACUGGGUAUUUAUACACAGAAGGAUAAUGGGGAAACAGGAGACAGGUGGGGGGAACAAUCAAUUACGCAACAAGGAGGAAGGUGACCAUAUAAGGGAACAGGAAGUGAUCUGGGACAGACACCGUGAGAAGGAGGACAUCUAGUGGAACCCCGGGGAACAACAACCCAGACACUGUGACACCCUUACUAUGCCAAUUGCAUGGCAAUUGUGUUUCAACUGAGUUGGACUAUUCAUGUACCUAGAAAGUUCCAAAAAGAGUAAUAAGAGGAAAAUUGCCAUUCAUUUUACACUUGGUCAAAUUGUGAUCAUACCUGAUUCAUCCAUUCAAAAGAAAAAGGGAAAAAAUCAUUUACUUUCUUAUACAAAACCAAACUUUACUCAGUUAAGAGGCUCAGUGUUGAUUAUUCACUCACCUACUGUGUUGCCUUCCUCUCUCCAGUAGUCUCAUCUUUCUUCUUAUCAAUUGGCCCAUACUGAACAUACUGAUGGGAACAUACUAGUGUGAAAUGCUAAACAUGUUGCACGCUACACUGAGUUUUGCAGUGAACCAUGGUUUGUCAUUGUUGUAGGUUCUGCAAGUGUGGGAAGUUGGACAAAGCAAAAAACUACAAUCAGGAGAAGAACUUACGAGACUAAAGCAAAAGGUGCAAAUAAGGCCAGAUUAGACUUUGCCAAAAAAUCUAUAAAAAACGGCAGACCACUUAUGGAAAAGCAUUCUUUGGACGGCUGAAAUUAAGAUCAGCCUGUACCAGAAUGACAGGAAGACAAAAGUAUGGAUAAGGCUUGGAAAAGCUCAUGAUCCAAAAAAUACAACGUCAUCUGUGAGACAUGGGGCAGUGUGAUACAUGAGCUAGGUUACUGGUGUUUAGUGAUGAUGAGACAGAAGACAGAAGCAGCUGGAUGAACUCUGAAGUGUACAGGGAUAUACUCUCUGGCCAGAUUCAGUCAAAUGCAGCAAAGUUGAUUGGGCUUCGCUUCAGAGUACUAAUGGACAAUGACCCAAAUCACAUGACUAUGACAAUAUAUGGGUUAUCGGAGUUCUUAUUAUAAUUUUUAUUAUAAUUCUCAUUAUAAUAAAGUAAAUAUUAAU
Molecule: long non-coding RNA, 3401 nt
Filed under: Carassius auratus (goldfish)
Lineage: Eukaryota; Metazoa; Chordata; Actinopteri; Cypriniformes; Cyprinidae
Description: lncRNA (ENSCARG00000000851.1)
Source: RNAcentral